RNAcentral lists this ribosomal RNA (450 nucleotides) under uncultured bacterium. Its description in RNAcentral is "partial 16S ribosomal RNA". It matches the Rfam family "Bacterial small subunit ribosomal RNA", at positions 354 to 796 of the family's 1533-position model. The record is from RNAcentral.
GUGGGGAAUUUUGGACAAUGGGCGCAAGCCUGAUCCAGCAAUGCCGCGUGCAGGAAGAAGGCCUUCGGGUUGUAAACUGCUUUUGUACGGAACGAAACGGUCCGGGUUAAUACCCUGGGCUAAUGACGGUACCGUAAGAAUAAGCACCGGCUAACUACGUGCCAGCAGCCGCGGUAAUACGUAGGGUGCAAGCGUUAAUCGGAAUUACUGGGCGUAAAGCGUGCGCAGGCGGUUUUGUAAGACAGGCGUGAAAUCCCCGGGCUCAACCUGGGAAUUGCGCUUGUGACUGCAGGGCUGGAGUGCGGCAGAGGGGGAGGGAAUUCCGCGUGUAGCAGUGAAAUGCGUAGAUAUGCGGAGGAACACCGAUGGCGAAGGCAAUCCCCUGGGCCUGCACUGACGCUCAUGCACGAAAGCGUGGGGAGCAAACAGGAUUAGAUACCCGAGUAGUCC